UACGUAGGGUGCGAGCGUUGUCCGGAAUUAUUGGGCGUAAAGAGCUCGUAGGCGGUGUGUCACGUCGGCCGUGAAAACCUGGGGCUUAACCCCGGGUCUGCAUUCGAUACGGGCAGGCUAGAGUUCGGUAGGGGAGAUCGGAAUUCCUGGUGUAGCGGUGAAAUGCGCAGAUAUCAGGAGGAACACCGGUGGCGAAGGCGGAUCUCUGGGCCGAUACUGACGCUGAGGAGCGAAAGCGUGGGGAGCGAACAGG
Molecule: ribosomal RNA, 253 nt
Filed under: uncultured bacterium
Lineage: Bacteria
Description: partial 16S ribosomal RNA
Rfam family: Bacterial small subunit ribosomal RNA
Source: RNAcentral